Molecule: long non-coding RNA, 1276 nt
Filed under: Cyanistes caeruleus (blue tit)
Lineage: Eukaryota; Metazoa; Chordata; Aves; Passeriformes; Paridae
Description: lncRNA (ENSCCEG00000020457.1)
Source: RNAcentral
AUGGCGAGCGCGGGCGUCCAGCCCAAGCAGAGUUGGCUGCGCCGUCUGAGGCGACAGAAGGUGCAGAUCCGUGAGUGGCGGGCAGCACCUCAGGAGGCUGAGGAGCACCGUGACUCCUGGGCUGGGCCUGGCGCGCAGGCGGCAGCAGCAGAGAGCCGGGCAGCGGCCCCGCACAGCCCCAGGGCCCGCGGCCGGGCUCUGCUGCACUCGCUGCGGCGCGGCUCCCGGGCCAUCCUGAGCAGGGUGGCGGCUGUGAUCCGGCCACACGGCCAGCAGCCGGGGACACAGCAGCACCGCUCAGGGACGGCGGCAGCAGCUCCCGCAGCAGGGGCACAGAGUCGGGCAGCUGCCCCGCACAGCCCCUGCUGUGUCCCCAGCCCCUCGCCCGGCCAGCUGGAAGAGCUGGGGCUGCGGGCAGGGCCGGCAGGGAUGACGCUCCUUAAGGAGCUAGGGAGCGAGGAGUGGCACUGGUCUGAUGAUUGCCAAGCUGAGAGUGGCCAGGGUGAAAGCCUCUCAGAGUCCAGUUCCUAUGAUGCAGAUGAACUGGAGCAUUACAGAGGCACAGGACCAUUCCUAGGGGGUGGGGAAAGGUCCCGCUCUGAGAAGCUCAGGUCUGGCUCAUCCACAGGGUGGGCAAUAGAGACAGACCUGAGCAGGAGCGCUGAGGAGGAGAGCACCUCAUGGUCCCUCCAAACUGAGGCAUGGCCCGAAGACACAGAGCUAAACAGGAUGACCAGGGAAGAGAUUGGCUUAGUGUCCCUGCCACGCAAGGCGUGGACAGAAGACCAAGUCGGAAGCUGCAGCAUUGAGGAGGACAAUGCCUCUGGGUCCCUGUUAUGUGAGUCAUGGGCAGAAAGCUCAGAUUCUGAGUCCUGCAUAUUGCUAGAGGAUGGUCUAGAUGAGCUGGAGGCAGCCUGGAUCUGCCAAUCCCAGGUGAACCCACCGCUCCUGUACAUGGGCACAGGUAUCAGAAGUCCGGAGUCAGAAGGAAGCCUGUCUCAAAUGGAAGAUACAGAGACAUUUAACAGAGAAAGGCAGACUGUCCUGAAGGCCGCUUUUUGGGAGGACUUGGAGAGGGAGAGGCAGUUAAUUGAGCGUUUGCAAGGCCUGGACUCAGCUGCAGCUGUCCCUGUGCAGCACCUGCUCCCCUUCAGGAGGGCACUCAAGGCUCUGCGCAGGGCAUUCCGGAGCCUCAGACACCUCAUUCCAGGGCUCCAUUCUUAGGAGUGUCUUAGAUUCCAAUAAAUAAAAUGCAACCAAGAGUGUGUAUUCUAUC